This 239-nucleotide ribosomal RNA is filed under the name uncultured Lactobacillus sp. Its description in RNAcentral is "partial 16S ribosomal RNA". It matches the Rfam family "Bacterial small subunit ribosomal RNA", at positions 125 to 355 of the family's 1533-position model. The record is from RNAcentral. Lineage: Bacteria; Bacillati; Bacillota; Bacilli; Lactobacillales; Lactobacillaceae.
CCGUGCCCCAUAGUCUGGGAUACCACUUGGAAACAGGUGCUAAUACCGGAUAAGAAAGCAGAUCGCAUGAUCAGCUUUUAAAAGGCGGCGUAAGCUGUCGCUAUGGGAUGGCCCCGCGGUGCAUUAGCUAGUUGGUAAGGUAAAGGCUUACCAAGGCGAUGAUGCAUAGCAGAGUUGAGAGACUGAUCGGCCACAUUGGGACUGAGACACGGCCCAGACUCCUACGGGAGGCAGCAGCA